UCUUUUAGGUUACAAAGUCAGUCUCACUGAUACACAUCCUACUCAAGUGUUAUUGAAGAAUGCCAGUGACAUAAAAUAGAUAGUUACAAUAAAGGAACCACUAGAACAAGGUGAUCACAGACUUCACAUGUUCUCAAGAUAAAAAGGCUGGUGUGGUAACAAUGACAGAAAACACAGGUGGCAACGUUAUAGCUGAUCCUGGAUGGUUGGACUGGUCCUACACUGGAGUUGAUUUUGAACUGGCUGGAAAUGGUGGGGAUCAAUGCCAAACUUUUUUAUCAGUUCAGCAGCGAAUUAUUGAAAGUGUUUUUACAACAAUUGUGUCUGGGAUUGUAGUAGUCAUAGCUGUUCUCCAUCUAACUUUACCAAAUGUUCCACUCAAAUCUGAUAGGGAUUACUGUGGGAAGAGAAUAUUAUUAGUGGUUAUGUGUACAACAUUUGGAAUAGAACUUGGAUUUAAACUCGCCACACGUCAGAUGAUUUAUAUACUGAAUCCCUGUCAUAUUGCUACAAUGAUGCAGAUAUUUUGUCUAGCAGCACCUCCAAGUAAACUUGUGACAGCAGUAUUCAGAAUUCAUCUGCACAUGUUAUCAGGGGCACCUAUAGCUAUAUUAUUUCCAGUUGUAAAUACACGUUUGCUACCAUUUGAAAUUGAAGUAUAUUACAUACAACAUAUACUGAUGCUCAUUAUACCGUUAUAUCUUAUAAUCAAAGGCGGUGUUUAUAACCCAGAGCCAAUGUGGGACUUAAGUUGGGCAGCUGUGUCUGUGGGCGGUACCUACAUAUACCAUUUUAUAACUCUACAGUACAUAGGAUUUGUAUUUAAGGUGAAUUUAAACAACAUGCUGUGUCCUGCUAUAUCGGACCCAUUCUAUGGACCUUAUUAUAGGCUGUGUGCGUUAUUUCAUCAAACCUUGGUCCUUCCUUUCCUAGCCAAAUUUAUGUACUGGAUAUGUAAAAAAGCUUCUCCGCUCACUGUGUGUGAUUUAGAAGAAACGAAAGUUAUUGACAUCAUGAAAGAUUGUUUUUCAGGAAGUAAAAGCUCAAGACAGGAAGCUAACAAUCAGGGUCAGGCAGGCGUUACAUUAGAAGCUAAAAAGCACACAAUUUUAAAACAUCGAAAUGGUUCAGGUGAUCCUACAGAAAAAAAUGGAGUACUUAUAAAUCACACAAGACAACCUAGCAAUGGACAUUUAAAAACUUCCUGAUGCAAGUUCACAGUUUCAUUUUUGAGAUUAUUUGUAACUCAAUAUUUAUAUGCACAGGAAUAAUGUAAAUUUUUUUUAAAUGAUGUUUUAUAGAUAAAUGUUACUUAGUUAAUUCCUGUUGUAUUAAUUGAUGUUUUUAAGUAUGCAUUUCUACUAAGAAAACUGUGGUUCUAACAUAAAGCUAAACACCAAUAUGACUUCAAGUUUUUCCUAUUGAAUUAGUUAGGAUUGAUGAUUGAUAUAUAUGUUUGAGUUUAGUUUUAAAAAUAAAGUUCAAAUAAAGAAAAAUGUUCAGAAACAAAAAUUAUCACAGUCCUACUUUUAGUAAAUUUUCAUUUCUCAUCAACGUUAACAACAUAUACCUGAUUUUCACAUCCUUAUCAAUAUUAGAGCUAGAAUCAAACUUUCUGUUAUAACAAACUUUCAUCCAUUAAAAAAUACUUUUGUUAUCAGUAUGUCAUGACAACCUAAGAUUAACAGUAUGUCAUGACAAGCUUUGGUUAUCACUUUGUCAUGUCAACCUAAGGUUAUCAGUAUGUCAUGUCAAGCUGAGAUUAUCAGUAUGCCAUGACAAGCUUUGGUUAUCAGUAUGUCAUGACAGCCUUAUGUUAUCAGUAUGUCAUGACAGCCUUAUGUUAUCAGUAUGUCAUAACAAUCAUAGGUUAACAAUAUGUCAUGACAACCUUGAGUUAACAGUAUGUCAUGACACCCUAAGUUUAUCAGUAUAUCAUGACAGAGGGUGUGGAUGGGGGGUUUACAGAAUAGAGAAUAAUGGGCAAAAAAUAUAAAGAAUAGAGAAAAAUGGACCAAAAAUAUAAAGAAUAGAGAAUAAUGAGGUGCUAAAAUAUGAAGAAUAGAGAAAAAUGGCCUAAAAAUGGCCUAAAAAUUAACGAAUACAGAAAUGAAGGACCCUUCAUCCAAACCCUCAUGACAAGCUUAGGUUAAUAGAAUGUCAUGUGAAACUUAGGUUAUCAGUAUGUCAUGACAAGCUUAGGUUAUGAGUAUGUCAUGGCAGCUUUAGAUUAUCAGUAUUUCAUAUCAAUCUAAGGUUAUUAGUAUGUCAUGACAAGCUUAGGUUAUCAAUAUGUCAUGACAAGCUUAGGUUAUUAGUAUGUCAUUACAACCUUAUGU
Molecule: RNA transcript, 2339 nt
Organism: Mytilus californianus (California mussel)
Lineage: Eukaryota; Metazoa; Mollusca; Bivalvia; Mytilida; Mytilidae
Gene name: transmembrane protein 164-like
Exons: 8
Source: RefSeq, a predicted model, not a curated record